This 80-nucleotide non-coding RNA is filed under the name Paenibacillus sp. RNAcentral describes it as "ZTP sequence". It matches the Rfam family "ZMP/ZTP riboswitch aptamer (pfl RNA motif)". From Rfam's summary of the family: Previously known as pfl RNA. ZMP is also known as AICAR. Lineage: Bacteria; Bacillati; Bacillota; Bacilli; Caryophanales; Paenibacillaceae. The record is from RNAcentral.
UUAGGUAGGUGCAACUGGCGUAAACGUGGAUGACCACGAGGGAGCACCUAUUUCAUAUGUCGUACGCCUGGGCAAAGUAU